This 433-nucleotide ribosomal RNA is filed under the name uncultured bacterium. RNAcentral describes it as "partial 16S ribosomal RNA". It matches the Rfam family "Bacterial small subunit ribosomal RNA", at positions 29 to 507 of the family's 1533-position model. The record is from RNAcentral.
AACGAACGCUGGCGGCAGGCUUAACACAUGCAAGUCGAGCGCAUCCUUCGGGGUGAGCGGCGGACGGGUGAGUAACGCGUGGGAACGUGCCCUCUUCUACGGAAUAGCCUCGGGAAACUGAGAGUAAUGCCGUAUACGCCCGCAAGGGGAAAGAAUUAUCGGAGGAGGAUCGGCCCGCGUUGGAUUAGGUAGUUGGUGGGGUAACGGCCUACCAAGCCGACGAUCCAUAGCUGGUUUGAGAGGAUGAUCAGCCACACUGGGACUGAGACACGGCCCAGACUCCUACGGGAGGCAGCAGUGGGGAAUCUUGGACAAUGGGGGCAACCCUGAUCCAGCCAUGCCGCGUGAUCGAUGAAGGCCUUAGGGUUGUAAAGAUCUUUCAGCUGGGAAGAUAAUGACGGUACCAGCAGAAGAAGCCCCGGCUAACUCCGUG